AUAGUGAUAUUAAGCAAAACCCAAAAAGCAGUCUCAGUUCGGAUUGAAGGCUGAAAUUCGCCUUCAUGAAGCCGGAAUUGUUAGUAAUGGCAGGUCAGCAUACUGCCGUGAAUACGUUCCCGGGCCUUGUACACACCGCCCGUCACACCAUGAGAGUUGGGGAUACCCGAAGCCUGUGAGCUAACAGUAAUGAAGCAGCAGUCGAAGGUAGAAUCAAUGAUUGGGGUGAAGUCGUAACAAGGUAUC
This 246-nucleotide ribosomal RNA is filed under the name uncultured bacterium. RNAcentral describes it as "partial 16S ribosomal RNA". It matches the Rfam family "Bacterial small subunit ribosomal RNA", at positions 1254 to 1500 of the family's 1533-position model. The record is from RNAcentral.